RNAcentral lists this ribosomal RNA (497 nucleotides) under uncultured bacterium. RNAcentral describes it as "partial 16S ribosomal RNA". It matches the Rfam family "Bacterial small subunit ribosomal RNA", at positions 28 to 507 of the family's 1533-position model. The record is from RNAcentral.
GAUGAACGCUGGCGGCGUGCCUAAUACAUGCAAGUCGAGCGAACAGAUGAGGAGCUUGCUCCUCUGACGUUAGCGGCGGACGGGUGAGUAACAUGUGGAUAACCUACAUAUAAGACUGGGAUAACUUCGGGAAACCGGAGCUAAUACCGGAUAAUAUAUUGAACCGCAUGGUUCAAUAGUGAAAGACGGUUUUGCUGUCACUUAUAGAUGGAUCCGCGCCGCAUUAGCUAGUUGGUAAGGUAACGGCUUACCAAGGCAACGAUGCGUAGCCGACCUGAGAGAGUGAUAGGCCACACUGGAACUGGAACACGGUCCAGACUCCUACGGGAGGAAGCAGUAGGGAAUCUUCCGCAAUAGGCGAAAGCCUGACGGAGCAACGCCGCGUGAGUGAUGAAGGUCUUCGGAUCGUAAAACUCUGUUAUUAGGGAUGAACAAAUGUGUAAGUAACUAUGCACGUCUUGACGGUACCUAAUCAGAAAGCCACGGCUAACUACGUG